RNAcentral lists this ribosomal RNA (465 nucleotides) under uncultured bacterium. Its description in RNAcentral is "partial 16S ribosomal RNA". It matches the Rfam family "Bacterial small subunit ribosomal RNA", at positions 338 to 795 of the family's 1533-position model. The record is from RNAcentral.
CCUACGGGAGGCAGCAGUAGGGAAUCUUCCACAAUGGGCGAAAGCCUGAUGGAGCAACGCCGCGUGGGUGAAGAAGGUCUUCGGAUCGUAAAACCCUGUUGUUAGAGAAGAAAGAGCGUGAGAGUAACUGUUCACGUUUCGACGGUAUCUAACCAGAAAGCCACGGCUAACUACGUGCCAGCAGCCGCGGUAAUACGUAGGUGGCAAGCGUUAUCCGGAUUUAUUUGGCGUAAAGGGAACGCAGGCGGUCUUUUAAGUCUGAUGUGAAAGCCUUCGGCUUAACCGGAGUAGUGCAUUGGAAACUGGGAGACUUGAGUGCAGAAGAGGAGAGGGGAACUACAUGUGUAGCGGUGAAAUGCGUAGAUAUAUGGAAGAACACCAGUGGCGAAAGCGGCUCUCUGGUCUGUAACUGACGCUGAGGUUCGAAAGCGUGGGUAGCAAACAGGAUUAGAUACCCGAGUAGUC